AUACGGAGGAUCCGAGCGUUAUCCGGAUUUAUUGGGUUUAAAGGGUGCGUAGGUGGUUUGAUAAGUCAGCGGUGAAAGUUUGCAGCUUAACUGUAAAAAUGCCGUUGAAACUGUCGGACUUGAGUGUAAAUGAGGUAGGCGGAAUGCGUGGUGUAGCGGUGAAAUGCAUAGAUAUCACGCAGAACUCCGAUUGCGAAGGCAUCUUACUAAACUAAAAAUGACCCUGAAGCACUAAAGCGUGGGGAUCUAACAGGAUUAGAUGCCCUGGUAGAGCACGCCGUAGGCGAUGAUUACUAGCUGUUUGCGAUACACAGUGAGCCGCACAGCGAAAGCGUUAAGUAAUCCACCUGGGGAGUUCCCCGGUAACGGUGCAACUCAAAUGAAUUGACGGGG
This 393-nucleotide ribosomal RNA is filed under the name uncultured bacterium. RNAcentral describes it as "partial 16S ribosomal RNA". It matches the Rfam family "Bacterial small subunit ribosomal RNA", at positions 523 to 918 of the family's 1533-position model. The record is from RNAcentral.